Molecule: transfer RNA, 73 nt
Filed under: Bos taurus (domestic cattle)
Lineage: Eukaryota; Metazoa; Chordata; Mammalia; Artiodactyla; Bovidae
Also listed under: 5 other names
Rfam family: tRNA
About the family: Transfer RNA (tRNA) molecules are approximately 80 nucleotides in length. Their secondary structure includes four short double-helical elements and three loops (D, anti-codon, and T loops).
Source: Rfam by way of RNAcentral
UCCCUGGGGGUCUUGUGGUUAAGACUCUGCGCUUCCAGUGCAGGGGGUGCAGGUUUGAUCCCUGGUUGGGGAA